CAGAUCACGUUGAAGCACCGGUCCCCGUAUGAUCACCGAAGUUAAGCAACGUCGAACCUGAUCAGUACCUAAAUGGGUGAUCGCUUAGGAAUACCAGGUGCUGUAAG
Acanthosepion pharaonis is the source of this 107-nucleotide non-coding RNA. Lineage: Eukaryota; Metazoa; Mollusca; Cephalopoda; Sepiida; Sepiidae. The record is from the annotation of a GenBank genome assembly.